Molecule: ribosomal RNA, 460 nt
Filed under: uncultured bacterium
Lineage: Bacteria
Description: partial 16S ribosomal RNA
Rfam family: Bacterial small subunit ribosomal RNA
Source: RNAcentral
CCUACGGGAGACAGCAGUGCGGAAUAUUGGUCAAUGGACGAGAGUCUGAACCAGCCAAGUAGCGUGAAGGAUGACUGCCCUAUUGGUUGUACACUUCUUUUAUAUGGGAAUAAAAUGUUCCACGUGUGGGAUUUUGUAUGUACCAUAUGAAUAAGGAUCGGCUAACUCCGUGCCAGCAGCCGCGGUAAUACGGAGGAUCCGAGCGUUAUCCGGAUUUAUUGGGUUUAAAGGGAGCGUAGGUGGAUUGUUAAGUCAGGUGUGAAAGUUUGCGGCUCAACCGUAAAAUUGCAGUUGAAACUGGCAGUCUUGAGUACAGUAGAGGUGGGCGGAAUUCGUGGUGUAGCGGUGAAAUGCUUAGAUAUCACGAAGAACUCCGAUUGUGAAGGCAGUUCACUGGACUGCAACUGACACUGAGGCUCGAAAGUGUGGGUAUCAAACAGGAUUAGAUACCCUUGUAGUC